This 292-nucleotide ribosomal RNA is filed under the name uncultured bacterium. Its description in RNAcentral is "partial 16S ribosomal RNA". It matches the Rfam family "Bacterial small subunit ribosomal RNA", at positions 505 to 796 of the family's 1533-position model. The record is from RNAcentral.
GUGCCAGCAGCCGCGGUAAGACGUAGGAUGCAAGCGUUGUCCGGAAUUAUUGGGCGUAAAGAGUUCGUAGGCGGUUGCCUAAGUCUGAUGUUAAAUACUAGAGCUCAACUCUGGCAUGGCAUUGGAAACUGGGCGGCUAGAGUGCGGUAGAGGUCACGGGAAUUCCAGGUGUAGCGGUGAAAUGCGUAGAUAUCUGGAGGAACACCGGUGGCGAAAGCGCGUGACUGGGCCGUAACUGACGCUGAGGAACGAAAGCCAGGGGAGCGAAAGGGAUUAGAUACCCCCGUAGUCC